Molecule: non-coding RNA, 239 nt
Organism: Oryzias latipes (Japanese medaka)
Lineage: Eukaryota; Metazoa; Chordata; Actinopteri; Beloniformes; Adrianichthyidae
Source: RefSeq, a predicted model, not a curated record
GGAGCAGUGUAGCAGAUGCAGUGAUGGGGGCAGGACCAGGAGAACUCGAGCCCACAGAGAACCAACAGGAACUCCAGCCCACAGCCUAGCUGGAGCAUGGGGCUGUAUGUCACCUGAACAGGAGUGUGCUCUCUUGGGCAUGGAUCUAAUCCUAUUUGUUAAGCCCUGCCACUGGGCAACAAUGGAAAUGCAUGCAUCCUCCUGAACCAAAAAUUUGCUCAGUAAAUGAGGUGAUUCUU